AACGAACGCUGGCGGCAUGCCUAACACAUGCAAGUCGAACGAGACCUUCGGGUCUUGUUGCGCACGGUUGCGUACCACGUGGGAACCUGCCCUUAGGUUCGGUAUACCUCCCCGAAAGGGGUGCUAAUACCGGAUAAUCUCUUCCGACCCAAGAUUUGUCGCCUUUGGAUGGGCCCGCGUUGGAUUAGCUGGUUGGUAGGGUAAACGCCUAGCAAGGCGACGAUCCAUAGCUGGUCUGAGAGGAUGACCAGCCACACUGGGACUGAGACACGGCCCAGACUCAUAAGGGAGGAAGAAGGGAGGAAUAUUGGACAGCGGAAGAAAGACGGAGCCAGCAAGGCCGCGGGAGGGAUGAAGGCGUUAGGGAUGUAAAGCUCUUUUAACAGGGAUGAUAAUGACAGGACAGGGAGAAAAAGCUACGGCUAAAUCAGUG
Molecule: ribosomal RNA, 433 nt
Filed under: uncultured bacterium
Lineage: Bacteria
Description: partial 16S ribosomal RNA
Rfam family: Bacterial small subunit ribosomal RNA
Source: RNAcentral